Molecule: ribosomal RNA, 406 nt
Filed under: uncultured bacterium
Lineage: Bacteria
Description: partial 16S ribosomal RNA
Rfam family: Bacterial small subunit ribosomal RNA
Source: RNAcentral
AUUGAACGCUGGCGGCAGGCUUAACACAUGCAAGUCGAACGAGUGGCGGACGGGUGAGUAAUGUCUGGGAAUCUGCCUGCUGGAGGGGGAUAACUACUGGAAACUGUAUCUAAUACCGCAUACCAUAAGAUGAGCCCACGUGGGAUUAGGUAGUUGGGGGGGUAGCGGCUCACCAAGGCGACGAUCUCUACCUGGUCUGAGAGGAUGACCAUGCACACUGGAACGGAGACACGGGCCAGACUCAUCGGAGUGGCAGCAGUGGGGAAUCUUGCGCAAUGGGGGCAAGCCGGCAGCAGCCAUGCAGCGUGAACGAAGAAGGCGUUCGGGUUGUAAAGUACUUACGGCGGGGAGGCGUUACCCGCAGAAGAAGCAACGGCUAAAUCCGUGCCAGCCGCCGCGGUAAUAC